Cebus imitator (Panamanian white-faced capuchin) is the source of this 78-nucleotide microRNA precursor. Lineage: Eukaryota; Metazoa; Chordata; Mammalia; Primates; Cebidae. The record is from Ensembl.
CAGCUCACGGCCAGGCACAGAGUAAGCAUCAGUAGCAUUGGCAAGUUGAACUGAGCUGUCUCUUGCCCUUGUCCCUAG